UCCCUGGUAGCUCAGAGGGUAAAGCAUCUGCCUGCAGUGCGGGAGACCUGAGUUCGAUUCCUGGUUCGGGAA
RNAcentral lists this transfer RNA (72 nucleotides) under Bos taurus (domestic cattle). It matches the Rfam family "tRNA". From Rfam's summary of the family: Transfer RNA (tRNA) molecules are approximately 80 nucleotides in length. Their secondary structure includes four short double-helical elements and three loops (D, anti-codon, and T loops). Further hydrogen bonds mediate the characteristic L-shaped molecular structure. tRNAs have two regions of fundamental functional importance: the anti-codon, which is responsible for specific mRNA codon recognition, and the 3' end, to which the tRNAs corresponding amino acid is attached (by aminoacyl-tRNA synthetases). tRNAs cope with the degeneracy of the genetic code in two manners: having more than one tRNA (with a specific anti-codon) for a particular amino acid; and 'wobble' base-pairing, i.e. permitting non-standard base-pairing at the 3rd anti-codon position. Lineage: Eukaryota; Metazoa; Chordata; Mammalia; Artiodactyla; Bovidae. The record is from Rfam by way of RNAcentral.